GAUGAACGCUGGCGGCGUGCCUAAUACAUGCAAGUCGAGCGAACAGACAAGGAGCUUGCUCCUCUGACGUUAGCGGCGGACGGGUGAGUAACACGUGGAUAACCUACCUAUAAGACUGGAAUAACUUCGGGAAACCGGGGCUAAUGCCGGAUAACAUUUAGAACCGCAUGGUUCUAUAGUGAAAGAUGGUUUUGCUAUCACUUAUAGAUGGACCCGCGCCGCAUUAGCUAGUUGGUAAGGUAACGGCUUACCAAGGCAACGAUACGUAGCCGACCUGAGAGGGUGAUCGGCCACACUGGAACUGAGACACGGUCCAGACUCCUACGGGAGGCAGCAGUAGGGAAUCUUCCGCAAUGGGCGAAAGCCUGACGGAGCAACGCCGCGUGAGUGAUGAAGGUCUUCGGAUCGUAAAACUCUGUUAUUAGGGAAGAACAAAUGUGUAAGUAACUGUGCACGUCUUGACGGUACCUAAUCAGAAAGCCACGGCUAACUACGUG
Molecule: ribosomal RNA, 497 nt
Filed under: uncultured bacterium
Lineage: Bacteria
Description: partial 16S ribosomal RNA
Rfam family: Bacterial small subunit ribosomal RNA
Source: RNAcentral